CGCCUUCAUGAAGCCGGAAUUGCUAGUAAUGGCAGGUCAGCAUACUGCCGUGAAUACGUUCCCGGGCCUUGUACACACCGCCCGUCACACCAUGAGAGUUGGGAAUACCCGAAGCCUGUGAGCUAACGUUAAGAGGCAGCAGUCGAAGGUAGAAUCAAUGAUUGGGGUGAAGUCGUAACAAGGUACC
This 187-nucleotide ribosomal RNA is filed under the name uncultured bacterium. RNAcentral's name for it is "partial 16S ribosomal RNA". It matches the Rfam family "Bacterial small subunit ribosomal RNA", at positions 1313 to 1500 of the family's 1533-position model. The record is from RNAcentral.